GAGCCGCUAGCUCAAUUGGUAGAGCAACCGCCUCUUAAGCGGUAGGUUCCGAGUUCAAUCCUCGGGCGGCUCACCA
This 76-nucleotide transfer RNA is filed under the name Candidatus Cloacimonadota bacterium. RNAcentral describes it as "tRNA-Lys". It matches the Rfam family "tRNA". From Rfam's summary of the family: Transfer RNA (tRNA) molecules are approximately 80 nucleotides in length. Their secondary structure includes four short double-helical elements and three loops (D, anti-codon, and T loops). Further hydrogen bonds mediate the characteristic L-shaped molecular structure. tRNAs have two regions of fundamental functional importance: the anti-codon, which is responsible for specific mRNA codon recognition, and the 3' end, to which the tRNAs corresponding amino acid is attached (by aminoacyl-tRNA synthetases). tRNAs cope with the degeneracy of the genetic code in two manners: having more than one tRNA (with a specific anti-codon) for a particular amino acid; and 'wobble' base-pairing, i.e. permitting non-standard base-pairing at the 3rd anti-codon position. The record is from RNAcentral. Lineage: Bacteria; Pseudomonadati; Candidatus Cloacimonadota.